CCUACGGGUGGCAGCAGUGAGGAAUAGUGGUCAAUGGACGAGAGUCUGAACCAGCCAAGUAGCGUGAAGGAUGACUGCCCUAUGGGGUGUAAACUUCUUGUAUAUGGGAAUAAAAUGUUCCACGUGGGGGAUUUUGUAUGUACCAUAUGAAUAAGGAUCGGCUAACUCCGUGCCAGCAGCCGCGGUAAUACGGAGGAUCCGAGCGUUAUCCGGAUUUAUUGGGGUUAAAGGGAGCGUAGGUGGAUUGUUAAGUCAGUUUUGAUAGUUUGCGGCUCAACCGUAAAAUUGCAGUUGAAACUGGCAGUCUUGCGUACAGUUGCGGUGGUCUGAAUUCGUGUUGUAGCGGUGAAAUGCUUCGCUCUCACGA
Molecule: ribosomal RNA, 367 nt
Filed under: uncultured bacterium
Lineage: Bacteria
Description: partial 16S ribosomal RNA
Rfam family: Bacterial small subunit ribosomal RNA
Source: RNAcentral